GUGGGGAAUAUUGCGCAAUGGGGGAAACCCUGACGCAGCAACGCCGCGUGAGUGAGGAAGGACUUCGGUCUGUAAAGCUCUGUUAAUGUGGAAAAAUGGUAGUUGGUCUAAUAGGCCGAUUAUUUGAUGGUACACAUAGAGGAAGCACCGGCUAACUUCGUGCCAGCAGCCGCGGUAAUACGAAGGGUGCAAGCGUUGUUCGGAUUUAUUGGGCGUAAAGCGCGCGUAGGCGGACCUGCAAGUCAGAUGUGAAAUCUCGGGGCUCAACCUCGAAACUGCGUCUGAAACUACAGGUCUAGAAUCUCGGAGGGGGAAGGGGAAUAUCGCAUGUAGGGGUAAAAUCCGUAGAUAUGCGAUGGAACACCAGAGGCGAAGGCGCCUUCCUGGACGAGUAUUGACGCUGAGGCGCGAAAGCGUGGGGAUCAAACAGGAUUAGAUACCCCUGUAGUCC
This 451-nucleotide ribosomal RNA is filed under the name uncultured bacterium. Its description in RNAcentral is "partial 16S ribosomal RNA". It matches the Rfam family "Bacterial small subunit ribosomal RNA", at positions 354 to 796 of the family's 1533-position model. The record is from RNAcentral.